GUACUGCUUUAAGAUUAGAUCAGAGCACCUGGCAACUGGACAGGAAAGUCAAAUUUUGGCAGGAAGUCCAUUAUUGCAACAGAAUUUUGGAAAUCAGCUAAAAUUUACAAAAACAGACUCCCUCUUUUUUUCUUUCUUAAGACUACAACUCAUAUUGCUCUUGGACUAGUAUUCUCUAAUAAAUCAGUUGUUUAAUAGAUUAUUACGCUGCCAUUUUCAUCUGUAUCAAUACUAAGACAAACUUAUUCAAAUAUAAUUUAAAAUAACACAGCAAAAUACCCAUUAACAUACAUGACAAUUAAACUGCGCACUUCAAAAUGAGUAACCAAAACAAACAUUUAUGACAAUCAUCAUUCACACAGAAUAAACUUCUAACAGCUGUAUUCAGAACAUAUUAUUGUAAGGUAUACCAAUUUUAGUUUGUAUUGGAUUUAUUUAAGAUUUCUGGUACCAAAGGGUUUAUUUUUUAUUUUUUACAGAAGGGAUCCCGUACGGCCAUAUAACGCGUUUGACUUAAACAUUUGUAUAACACUUGCAUUAACCAGUUGCAACAUAUGUACCCUGUCAAUGGAAUUUCUCUCUUAUACGCUUAUAGAACAUUUGGACCAGAUUACACAGACAUGGUAUCACCUGCAUUUGUCAGAACUCUCAAAGACUCAAAAUAUUUAUACUACUCC
Pelobates cultripes (western spadefoot toad) is the source of this 677-nucleotide non-coding RNA. NCBI's taxonomy places the organism in Eukaryota, Metazoa, Chordata, Amphibia, Anura, Pelobatidae. The record is from the annotation of a GenBank genome assembly.